AAUUUUUGACUAUGGGCGCAAGCCUGUUCCAGCCAUGCCGCGUGUAGGUUGAAGGCCUUCGCGUUGUAAACUGCUUUUGUUCGGAACGAAAAGACCUGGGUUUAUACCCUGGGGUCAUGACGGUUCCGUAAGAAUAAGCACCGGCCAACUACGUGCCAGCAUCCGCGGUAUUACGUAGGGUGUGAGCGUUAAUCGGAAUUAUUGGGCGUAAAGCGUGCGCAGGCGGUUUUGUAAGACAGAGGUGAAAUCCCCGGGCUCAACCUGGGAACUGCCUUUGUGACUGCACGGCUAGAGUACGGCAGAGGAGGAUGGAAUUCCGCGUGUAGCAGUGAAAUGCGUAGAUAUGCGGAGGAACACCGAUGGCGAAGGCAAUCCCCUGGGCCUGUACUGACGCUCAUGCACGAAAGCGUGGGGAGCAAACAGG
This 424-nucleotide ribosomal RNA is filed under the name uncultured bacterium. RNAcentral's name for it is "partial 16S ribosomal RNA". It matches the Rfam family "Bacterial small subunit ribosomal RNA", at positions 360 to 776 of the family's 1533-position model. The record is from RNAcentral.